This 2904-nucleotide ribosomal RNA is filed under the name Escherichia coli. RNAcentral's name for it is "23S ribosomal RNA". It matches the Rfam family "Bacterial large subunit ribosomal RNA". The record is from RNAcentral. Lineage: Bacteria; Pseudomonadati; Pseudomonadota; Gammaproteobacteria; Enterobacterales; Enterobacteriaceae.
GGUUAAGCGACUAAGCGUACACGGUGGAUGCCCUGGCAGUCAGAGGCGAUGAAGGACGUGCUAAUCUGCGAUAAGCGUCGGUAAGGUGAUAUGAACCGUUAUAACCGGCGAUUUCCGAAUGGGGAAACCCAGUGUGUUUCGACACACUAUCAUUAACUGAAUCCAUAGGUUAAUGAGGCGAACCGGGGGAACUGAAACAUCUAAGUACCCCGAGGAAAAGAAAUCAACCGAGAUUCCCCCAGUAGCGGCGAGCGAACGGGGAGCAGCCCAGAGCCUGAAUCAGUGUGUGUGUUAGUGGAAGCGUCUGGAAAGGCGCGCGAUACAGGGUGACAGCCCCGUACACAAAAAUGCACAUGCUGUGAGCUCGAUGAGUAGGGCGGGACACGUGGUAUCCUGUCUGAAUAUGGGGGGACCAUCCUCCAAGGCUAAAUACUCCUGACUGACCGAUAGUGAACCAGUACCGUGAGGGAAAGGCGAAAAGAACCCCGGCGAGGGGAGUGAAAAAGAACCUGAAACCGUGUACGUACAAGCAGUGGGAGCACGCUUAGGCGUGUGACUGCGUACCUUUUGUAUAAUGGGUCAGCGACUUAUAUUCUGUAGCAAGGUUAACCGAAUAGGGGAGCCGAAGGGAAACCGAGUCUUAACUGGGCGUUAAGUUGCAGGGUAUAGACCCGAAACCCGGUGAUCUAGCCAUGGGCAGGUUGAAGGUUGGGUAACACUAACUGGAGGACCGAACCGACUAAUGUUGAAAAAUUAGCGGAUGACUUGUGGCUGGGGGUGAAAGGCCAAUCAAACCGGGAGAUAGCUGGUUCUCCCCGAAAGCUAUUUAGGUAGCGCCUCGUGAAUUCAUCUCUGGGGGUAGAGCACUGUUUCGGCAAGGGGGUCAUCCCGACUUACCAACCCGAUGCAAACUGCGAAUACCGGAGAAUGUUAUCACGGGAGACACACGGCGGGUGCUAACGUCCGUCGUGAAGAGGGAAACAACCCAGACCGCCAGCUAAGGUCCCAAAGUCAUGGUUAAGUGGGAAACGAUGUGGGAAGGCCCAGACAGCCAGGAUGUUGGCUUAGAAGCAGCCAUCAUUUAAAGAAAGCGUAAUAGCUCACUGGUCGAGUCGGCCUGCGCGGAAGAUGUAACGGGGCUAAACCAUGCACCGAAGCUGCGGCAGCGACGCUUAUGCGUUGUUGGGUAGGGGAGCGUUCUGUAAGCCUGCGAAGGUGUGCUGUGAGGCAUGCUGGAGGUAUCAGAAGUGCGAAUGCUGACAUAAGUAACGAUAAAGCGGGUGAAAAGCCCGCUCGCCGGAAGACCAAGGGUUCCUGUCCAACGUUAAUCGGGGCAGGGUGAGUCGACCCCUAAGGCGAGGCCGAAAGGCGUAGUCGAUGGGAAACAGGUUAAUAUUCCUGUACUUGGUGUUACUGCGAAGGGGGGACGGAGAAGGCUAUGUUGGCCGGGCGACGGUUGUCCCGGUUUAAGCGUGUAGGCUGGUUUUCCAGGCAAAUCCGGAAAAUCAAGGCUGAGGCGUGAUGACGAGGCACUACGGUGCUGAAGCAACAAAUGCCCUGCUUCCAGGAAAAGCCUCUAAGCAUCAGGUAACAUCAAAUCGUACCCCAAACCGACACAGGUGGUCAGGUAGAGAAUACCAAGGCGCUUGAGAGAACUCGGGUGAAGGAACUAGGCAAAAUGGUGCCGUAACUUCGGGAGAAGGCACGCUGAUAUGUAGGUGAAGUCCCUUGCGGAUGGAGCUGAAAUCAGUCGAAGAUACCAGCUGGCUGCAACUGUUUAUUAAAAACACAGCACUGUGCAAACACGAAAGUGGACGUAUACGGUGUGACGCCUGCCCGGUGCCGGAAGGUUAAUUGAUGGGGUCAGCGCAAGCGAAGCUCUUGAUCGAAGCCCCGGUAAACGGCGGCCGUAACUAUAACGGUCCUAAGGUAGCGAAAUUCCUUGUCGGGUAAGUUCCGACCUGCACGAAUGGCGUAAUGAUGGCCAGGCUGUCUCCACCCGAGACUCAGUGAAAUUGAACUCGCUGUGAAGAUGCAGUGUACCCGCGGCAAGACGGAAAGACCCCGUGAACCUUUACUAUAGCUUGACACUGAACAUUGAGCCUUGAUGUGUAGGAUAGGUGGGAGGCUUUGAAGUGUGGACGCCAGUCUGCAUGGAGCCGACCUUGAAAUACCACCCUUUAAUGUUUGAUGUUCUAACGUUGACCCGUAAUCCGGGUUGCGGACAGUGUCUGGUGGGUAGUUUGACUGGGGCGGUCUCCUCCUAAAGAGUAACGGAGGAGCACGAAGGUUGGCUAAUCCUGGUCGGACAUCAGGAGGUUAGUGCAAUGGCAUAAGCCAGCUUGACUGCGAGCGUGACGGCGCGAGCAGGUGCGAAAGCAGGUCAUAGUGAUCCGGUGGUUCUGAAUGGAAGGGCCAUCGCUCAACGGAUAAAAGGUACUCCGGGGAUAACAGGCUGAUACCGCCCAAGAGUUCAUAUCGACGGCGGUGUUUGGCACCUCGAUGUCGGCUCAUCACAUCCUGGGGCUGAAGUAGGUCCCAAGGGUAUGGCUGUUCGCCAUUUAAAGUGGUACGCGAGCUGGGUUUAGAACGUCGUGAGACAGUUCGGUCCCUAUCUGCCGUGGGCGCUGGAGAAUUGAGGGGGGCUGCUCCUAGUACGAGAGGACCGGAGUGGACGCAUCACUGGUGUUCGGGUUGUCAUGCCAAUGGCACUGCCCGGUAGCUAAAUGCGGAAGAGAUAAGUGCUGAAAGCAUCUAAGCACGAAACUUGCCCCGAGAUGAGUUCUCCCUGACUCCUUGAGAGUCCUGAAGGAACGUUGAAGACGACGACGUUGAUAGGCCGGGUGUGUAAGCGCAGCGAUGCGUUGAGCUAACCGGUACUAAUGAACCGUGAGGCUUAACCUU